Molecule: ribosomal RNA, 429 nt
Filed under: uncultured Enterobacteriaceae bacterium
Lineage: Bacteria; Pseudomonadati; Pseudomonadota; Gammaproteobacteria; Enterobacterales; Enterobacteriaceae
Description: bacterial SSU rRNA
Rfam family: Bacterial small subunit ribosomal RNA
Source: RNAcentral
AUGCAACGCGAAGAACCUUACCUGGUCUUGACAUCCACAGAACUUGGCAGAGAUGCCUUGGUGCCUUCGGGAACUGUGAGACAGGUGCUGCAUGGCCGUCGUCAGCUCGUGUUGUGAAAUGUUGGGUUAAGUCCCGCAACGAGCGCAACCCUUACCCUUUCGUUGCCAGCGGUUAGGCCGGGAACUCAAAGGAGACUGCCAGUGAUAAACUGGAGGAAGGUGGGGAUGACGUCAAGUCAUCAUGGCCCUUACGAGUAGGGCUACACACGUGCUACAAUGGCAUAUACAAAGAGAAGCGACCUCGCGAGAGCAAGCGGACCUCAUAAAGUAUGUCGUAGUCCGGAUUGGAGUCUGCAACUCGACUCCAUGAAGUCGGAAUCGCUAGUAAUCGUGGAUCAGAAUGCCACGGUGAAUACGUUCCCGGGCCUU